RNAcentral lists this ribosomal RNA (518 nucleotides) under uncultured archaeon. RNAcentral's name for it is "bacterial SSU rRNA". It matches the Rfam family "Archaeal small subunit ribosomal RNA", at positions 326 to 828 of the family's 1478-position model. The record is from RNAcentral.
CGGGGUGCAGCAGGCGCGAAACCUUUACAAUGCACGCAAGUGUGAUAAGGGGACCCUCAGUGCUCAUGUAUAACAUGGGCUUUUGCCAAGCGUAAAUAGCUUGGCGAAUAAGUGGUGGGUAAGACUGGUGCCAGCCGCCGCGGUAACACCAGCGCCACGAGUGGCAACCACGUUUAUUGGGCCUAAAGCGUCCGUAGUCGGUUUGGUAAAUCUCUUGUGAAAUUGUCGGGCUUAACCCGACAGCAUGCUCGAGACACUGCCUUACUUGAGACCNGGAGGAGUGAGAGGUAUUCCUGAGGGAGCGGUAAAAUGUGAUAAUCUCAGGAGGAUCACCUAUGGCGAAGGCAUCUCACCAGAACGGAUCUGACGAUCAGGGACGAAAGCUAUGGGGAGCGAUCCGGAUUAGAUACCCGAGUAGUCCUANGCAUGUAAACGCUGCNAUUCUANGAUUAUUGGAUCUUCCUUAACGACCACUUUAUCAUUUGUCGAACUAGAACCCCCNNAAAUCUCUCCGCCCU